CGCCUUGCCAGCCCGCUCAGAAACUUAAAGGAAUUGACGGGGGCCCGCACAAGCGGAGGAACAUGUGGUUUAAUUCGAUGAUACGCGAGGAACCUUACCUGGGCUAGAACGCAAUCGGAAUCAGGCCGAAAGGUCUGCGCCAGCGAUGGCCGCUUGCGAGGUGCUGCAUGGUUGUCGUCAGCUCGUGCCGUGAGGUGUCGGGUUAAGUCCCAUAACGAGCGCAACCCCUACUGCUAGUUGCCAGCGGGUCAUGCCGGGGACUCUAGCGGAACUGCCAGCGUAAGCUGCGAGGAAGGUGGGGAUGACGUCAAAUCAGCACGGCCCUUACGUCCAGGGCUACACACGUGUUACAAUGGCCAGUACAGAGGGCAGCCACCCCGCGAGGGGGCGCUAAUCCUAAAAGCUGGUCCCAGUUCGGAUCGGAGUCUGCAACCCGACUCCGUGAAGCUGGAUUCGCUAGUAAUCGCGCAUCAGCCACGGCGCGGUGAAUACGUUCCGGGCCUU
This 504-nucleotide ribosomal RNA is filed under the name uncultured Rikenellaceae bacterium. RNAcentral's name for it is "bacterial SSU rRNA". It matches the Rfam family "Bacterial small subunit ribosomal RNA", at positions 903 to 1382 of the family's 1533-position model. The record is from RNAcentral. Lineage: Bacteria; Pseudomonadati; Bacteroidota; Bacteroidia; Bacteroidales; Rikenellaceae.